GGACGAACGCCGGCGGCGUGGCUUAAACACACGCAAGUCGAAACGGUAAGGCCCUUUUCGGGGGUACACGAGCGGCGAAACGGGUGAGUAAACACGUGGGUGGUCCGCCCCGCACUUUGGGAUAAGCCCGGGAAACCGGGUCUAAUACCGAAAUAUUCCUUGCCGGUCGCAAGGCCCGGUGGGGGAAAGCUUUUCGCGGUGGGGGAUGGGCCCGCGGCCUAUCAGCUUGUUGGUGGGGUGAUGGCCUACCAAGGCGACGACGGGUAGCCGGCCUGAGAGGGUGUCCGGCCACACUGGGACUGAGAUACGGCCCAGACUCCUACGGGAGGCAGCAGUGGGGAAUAUGGCACAAUGGGGCGCAAGCCUGAUGCAGCGACGCCGCGUGAGGGAUGACGGCCUUCGGGUUGUAAACCUCUUUUAAUAGGGACGAAGCGCAAGUGACGGUACCUAUAGAAAAAGCACCAGCCAACUACGUGCCAGCAGCCGCGGUAAUACGUAGGGUGCGAGCGUUGUCCGGAAUUACUGGGCGUAAAGAGCUCGUAGGUGGUUUGUCGCGUUGUUCGUGAAAACCGGGGGCUUAACCCUCGGCGUGCGGGCGAUACGGGCAGACUGGAGUACUGCAGGGGAGACUGGAAUUCCUGGUGUAGCGGUGGAAUGCGCAGAUAUCAGGAGGAACACCGGUGGCGAAGGCGGGUCUCUGGGCAGUAACUGACGCUGAGGAGCGAAAGCGUGGGGAGCGAACAGGAUUAGAUACCCUGGUAGUCCACGCCGUAAACGGUGGGUACUAGGUGUGGGUUUCCUUCCUUGGGAUCCGUGCCGUAGCUAACGCAUUAAGUACCCCGCCUGGGGAGUACGGCCGCAAGGCUAAAACUCAAAGGAAUUGACGGGGGCCCGCACAAGCGGCGGAGCAUGUGGAUUAAUUCGAUGCAACGCGAAGAACCUUACCUGGGUUUGACAUGCACAGGACGUGUCUAGAGAUAGGCAUUCCCUUGUGGCCUGUGUGCAGGUGGUGCAUGGCUGUCGUCAGCUCGUGUCGUGAGAUGUUGGGUUAAGUCCCGCAACGAGCGCAACCCUUGUCUCAUGUUGCCAGCACGUAAUGGUGGGGACUCGUGAGAGACUGCCGGGGUCAACUCGGAGGAAGGUGGGGAUGACGUCAAGUCAUCAUGCCCCUUAUGUCCAGGGCUUCACACAUGCUACAAUGGCCGGUACAAAGGGCUGCGAUGCCGUGAGGUGGAGCGAAUCCUUUUAAAGCCGGUCUCAGUUCGGAUCGGGGUCUGCAACUCGACCCCGUGAAGUCGGAGUCGCUAGUAAUCGCAGAUCAGCAACGCUGCGGUGAAUACGUUCCCGGGCCU
RNAcentral lists this ribosomal RNA (1352 nucleotides) under uncultured bacterium. Its description in RNAcentral is "bacterial SSU rRNA". It matches the Rfam family "Bacterial small subunit ribosomal RNA", at positions 27 to 1381 of the family's 1533-position model. The record is from RNAcentral.